AGGGAUAUUGCUCAGUGAUAGAGUGCUUGCCUAGCAUGCACGAGGCCCUGGGUUCCAUCCCCAGUGCCAUGA
This 72-nucleotide transfer RNA is filed under the name Marmota marmota marmota (Alpine marmot). It matches the Rfam family "tRNA". Rfam says of the family: Transfer RNA (tRNA) molecules are approximately 80 nucleotides in length. Their secondary structure includes four short double-helical elements and three loops (D, anti-codon, and T loops). Further hydrogen bonds mediate the characteristic L-shaped molecular structure. tRNAs have two regions of fundamental functional importance: the anti-codon, which is responsible for specific mRNA codon recognition, and the 3' end, to which the tRNAs corresponding amino acid is attached (by aminoacyl-tRNA synthetases). tRNAs cope with the degeneracy of the genetic code in two manners: having more than one tRNA (with a specific anti-codon) for a particular amino acid; and 'wobble' base-pairing, i.e. permitting non-standard base-pairing at the 3rd anti-codon position. Lineage: Eukaryota; Metazoa; Chordata; Mammalia; Rodentia; Sciuridae. RNAcentral also lists the same sequence under 2 other names. The record is from Rfam by way of RNAcentral.